UACGGAGGGUGCAAGCGUUGUCCGGAUUUAUUGGGUUUAAAGGGUGCGUAGGCGGCUUUUUAAGUCAGUGGUGAAAUACAGCAGCUCAACUGUUGAGGUGCCAUUGAUACUGAGAGGCUUGAGUACAGAUGAGGUAGGCGGAAUUUAUGGUGUAGCGGUGAAAUGCAUAGAUACCAUAAAGAACACCGAUUGCGAAGGCAGCUUACUAAGCUGUAACUGACGCUGAGGCACGAAAAGCGUGGGGGAGCGAACAGG
RNAcentral lists this ribosomal RNA (255 nucleotides) under uncultured bacterium. RNAcentral describes it as "partial 16S ribosomal RNA". It matches the Rfam family "Bacterial small subunit ribosomal RNA", at positions 524 to 776 of the family's 1533-position model. The record is from RNAcentral.